This is a long non-coding RNA of Thunnus maccoyii (southern bluefin tuna), 282 nucleotides long. RefSeq lists it as uncharacterized. NCBI's taxonomy places the organism in Eukaryota, Metazoa, Chordata, Actinopteri, Scombriformes, Scombridae. The transcript has 3 exons. The record is from RefSeq and is a predicted model, not a curated record.
GAGCGCAGUCUGAUAGGGCCGCCAACGCCGCUCCUCUGCUGGGUGUCCUGGAGGGUGGGGUCCUUGACUCCAUCUUCAUCUGAAGAAUGCCAGACUGGACUUACAGUUGGUGAGAACUGUAAUCCCCCCCCCUUCGCCCCUCGACCACAAGGGGCAGCAGUCAGACCACUGUGGCCACACUCAAACCACACAAAGGUGAAUGUGGCCUCUGACCUGUGUCUCCAGCUCCAGCAUCCUCUGCCGUGUCUCUCGCAGCUCUGCUUGAGCUUCGGCCUCACGCAG